This 1627-nucleotide non-coding RNA is filed under the name Saccharomyces cerevisiae (brewer's yeast). RNAcentral describes it as "ribosomal RNA". It matches the Rfam family "Bacterial small subunit ribosomal RNA". Lineage: Eukaryota; Fungi; Ascomycota; Saccharomycetes; Saccharomycetales; Saccharomycetaceae. The record is from RNAcentral.
UUUUAUAAGAAUAUGAUGUUGGUUCAGAUUAAGCGCUAAAUAAGGACAUGACACAUGCGAAUCAUACGUUUAUUAUUGAUAAGAUAAUAAAUAUGUGGUGUAAACGUGAGUAAUUUUAUUAGGGAAUUAAUGAACUAUAGAAUAAGCUAAAUACUUAAUAUAUUAUUAUAUAAAAAUAAUUUAUAUAAUAAAAAGGAUAUAUAUAUAAUAUAUAUUUAUCUAUAGUCAAGCCAAUAAUGGUUUAGGUAGUAGGUUUAUUAAGAGUUAAACCUAGCCAACGAUCCAUAAUCGAUAAUGAAAGUUAGAACGAUCACGUUGACUCUGAAAUAUAGUCAAUAUCUAUAAGAUACAGCAGUGAGGAAUAUUGGACAAUGAUCGAAAGAUUGAUCCAGUUACUUAUUAGGAUGAUAUAUAAAAAUAUUUUAUUUUAUUUAUAAAUAUUAAAUAUUUAUAAUAAUAAUAAUAAUAAUAUAUAUAUAUAAAUUGAUUAAAAAUAAAAUCCAUAAAUAAUUAAAAUAAUGAUAUUAAUUACCAUAUAUAUUUUUAUAUGGAUAUAUAUAUUAAUAAUAAUAUUAAUUUUAUUAUUAUUAAUAAUAUAUUUUAAUAGUCCUGACUAAUAUUUGUGCCAGCAGUCGCGGUAACACAAAGAGGGCGAGCGUUAAUCAUAAUGGUUUAAAGGAUCCGUAGAAUGAAUUAUAUAUUAUAAUUUAGAGUUAAUAAAAUUAAUUAAAGAAUUAUAAUAGUAAAGAUGAAAUAAUAAUAAUAAUUAUAAGACUAAUAUAUGUGAAAAUAUUAAUUAAAUAUUAACUGACAUUGAGGGAUUAAAACUAGAGUAGCGAAACGGAUUCGAUACCCGUGUAGUUCUAGUAGUAAACUAUGAAUACAAUUAUUUAUAAUAUAUAUUAUAUAUAAAUAAUAAAUGAAAAUGAAAGUAUUCCACCUGAAGAGUACGUUAGCAAUAAUGAAACUCAAAACAAUAGACGGUUACAGACUUAAGCAGUGGAGCAUGUUAUUUAAUUCGAUAAUCCACGACUAACCUUACCAUAUUUUGAAUAUUAUAAUAAUUAUUAUAAUUAUUAUAUUACAGGCGUUACAUUGUUGUCUUUAGUUCGUGCUGCAAAGUUUUAGAUUAAGUUCAUAAACGAACAAAACUCCAUAUAUAUAAUUUUAAUUAUAUAUAAUUUUAUAUUAUUUAUUAAUAUAAAGAAAGGAAUUAAGACAAAUCAUAAUGAUCCUUAUAAUAUGGGUAAUAGACGUGCUAUAAUAAAAUGAUAAUAAAAUUAUAUAAAAUAUAUUUAAUUAUAUUUAAUUAAUAAUAUAAAACAUUUUAAUUUUUAAUAUAUUUUUUUAUUAUAUAUUAAUAUGAAUUAUAAUCUGAAAUUCGAUUAUAUGAAAAAAGAAUUGCUAGUAAUACGUAAAUUAGUAUGUUACGGUGAAUAUUCUAACUGUUUCGCACUAAUCACUCAUCACGCGUUGAAACAUAUUAUUAUCUUAUUAUUUAUAUAAUAUUUUUUAAUAAAUAUUAAUAAUUAUUAAUUUAUAUUUAUUUAUAUCAGAAAUAAUAUGAAUUAAUGCGAAGUUGAAAUACAGUUACCGUAGGGGAACCUGCGGUGGGCUUAUAAAUAUC